This 329-nucleotide ribosomal RNA is filed under the name forest soil bacterium AC03. RNAcentral describes it as "bacterial SSU rRNA". It matches the Rfam family "Bacterial small subunit ribosomal RNA", at positions 353 to 674 of the family's 1533-position model. The record is from RNAcentral. Lineage: Bacteria; Bacillati; Bacillota; Bacilli; Caryophanales; Bacillaceae.
AGUAGGGAAUCUUCCGCAAUGGACGAAAGUCUGACGGAGCAACGCCGCGUGAACGAAGAAGGCCUUCGGGUCGUAAAGUUCUGUUGUUAGGGAAGAACAAGUACCAGAGUAACUGCUGGUACCUUGACGGUACCUAACCAGAAAGCCACGGCUAACUACGUGCCAGCAGCCGCGGUAAUACGUAGGUGGCAAGCGUUGUCCGGAAUUAUUGGGCGUAAAGCGCGCGCAGGUGGUUCCUUAAGUCUGAUGUGAAAGCCCACGGCUCAACCGUGGAGGGUCAUUGGAAACUGGGGAACUUGAGUGCAGAAGAGGAAAGUGGAAUUCCAAGU